UUACCAGGGUUUGACAUGCAAGUGGUAGGAAUCCGAAAGGUGACCGACCCUUCGGGGAGCUUGCACAGGUGCUGCAUGGCUGUCGUCAGCUCGUGUCGUGAGAUGUUCGGUUAAGUCCGCUAACGAGCGCAACCCUCGUCGUGUGUUAUACGUGUCACACGAUACUGCCGGUAUCAAGCCGGAGGAAGGUGGGGAUGAUGUCAAGUCAGCAUGGCCUUUAUAUCCUGGGCUACACACACGCUACAAUGGCAGAUACAAUAGGUUGCGAAACCGCGAGGUGGAGCCAAUCCUCAAAGUCUGUCUCAGUUCAGAUUGUAGGCUGCAACUCGCCUGCAUGAAGUUGGAGUUGCUAGUAAACGCAGGUCAGCUAUACUGCGUUGAAUACGUUCCCGGGGUUU
This 398-nucleotide ribosomal RNA is filed under the name uncultured Leptolinea sp. RNAcentral's name for it is "bacterial SSU rRNA". It matches the Rfam family "Bacterial small subunit ribosomal RNA", at positions 971 to 1382 of the family's 1533-position model. Lineage: Bacteria; Bacillati; Chloroflexota; Anaerolineae; Anaerolineales; Anaerolineaceae. The record is from RNAcentral.